ACAACAGAGACUUUUGGAGAAGAGGAGUUGGAAAUUCUGCUGUGCAUUGCUACACAAAGGGAACCAGACUGACUUGCUUCAUUGUUGCCAAGGCCAACAUAUGGACCCUCACACAGGGAAACAGGGUGGAAUAGACCCUUCUUGGCCCUUCCAGCAACCCACCGGUUUAACCCCAGCCUGAUCAAUUCAGAACUUGGAAGUAGAACUCGGUACGAUUUCUGAUGGCCAUACAAUUUC
This is a long non-coding RNA of Mobula hypostoma (lesser devil ray), 237 nucleotides long. RefSeq lists it as uncharacterized. Lineage: Eukaryota; Metazoa; Chordata; Chondrichthyes; Myliobatiformes; Myliobatidae. The record is from RefSeq and is a predicted model, not a curated record. The transcript is spliced from 3 exons.